GAUGAAGAACGUAGCGAAAUGCGAUACUUGGUGUGAAUUGCAGAAUCCCGUGAACCAUCGAGUCUUUGAACGCAAGUUGCGCCCGAAGCCAUUAGGCCGAGGGCACGCCUGCCUGGGCGUCACACGUCGUUGCCCCCCCAUCUACUCCUUCGGGAUUGCGGGGGGCGGAUGAUGGCCUCCCGUGCGCCUCGUCGCGCGGUUGGCAUAAAUGCCAAGUCCUCGGCGCCGCACGCCACGACAAUCGGUGGUUGCGAAACCUCGGUUGCCCGUCGUGUGCGGUCGUCGCGCAUCGAGGGCUCGAAAAAAUUGCCGGGCUCCGGCUCGGCUUUCAACGCGACCCCAGGUCAGGCGGGGUUACCCGCUGAAUUUAAGCAUAUCAAUAAGCGGAGGA
This 391-nucleotide unclassified non-coding RNA is filed under the name soil metagenome. RNAcentral describes it as "partial contains 5.8S ribosomal RNA, internal transcribed spacer 2, and large subunit ribosomal RNA". The stretch from base 1 to 122 matches the Rfam family "5.8S ribosomal RNA", at positions 35 to 154 of the family's 154-position model. The record is from RNAcentral.